Molecule: long non-coding RNA, 1687 nt
Organism: Acanthochromis polyacanthus (spiny chromis)
Lineage: Eukaryota; Metazoa; Chordata; Actinopteri; Pomacentridae
Exons: 3
Source: RefSeq, a predicted model, not a curated record
UGUAAUAAAUGUGAUUUCUUUUAUUUUUUGACCACUGUUGGAAUAAAAUAUCAUUCAAUGCAUACAACAGCGUCUGAGCUUCUCAUUAAAACGGCUAUAUUGUAUAAUAAUGGCGGCAUCGAACACUGCUCUUUGAGGUGUCCUGGUGGAGAAAACAAUGUCACCAUGACGCCGCUCGGGGACGGCUGCCAUCUUGGUCCGGUCAUCGUACUUACAGUUCAGCAGCAGAAAGAACCAGAUGCCAGAGUACUGUGCCGCAUAUUCGUGUUCAAAUCGCCGGAUCGUCGAAAACAGGGCACGAGGGAUUACUUUUCACAAGUGAUGUGUGCCGUGCAAGCUUGGUCAGAGAUGCUGUACCAUCAUCAUUUGACGAGAGCUCCCACCUUCUAGCUCUGAAAAACAAUGGAGGCCUACUGAUUCCAUCACAAGGCACAGUGAAGGUGCUGAGCGUUGCAGAGAGGGUGAUUCGCCAGGCUUCAACAAAACAAGCUCCAAAGGUGUCAGCAGUCACACACAACGUCUGGGAGGAGAUUGGAAUGGAGGUGGUUUUUCUGCUUGGGGAACACAUUGAAGAAACACAGUUUGAUAUCAACAACCAUCAUUCCAGCUUGUUGUCAUUGGUUGUGUCCGUGGCUACACCACGUUGCCAAACUUACCUGUCUUGACCUGCAGAAAGGGAGCACGAGAAAGAAGCUCUGCAAAACAGUCCUCGUUCAUCGGUUUUAGCUGUAAAACGUUUGUACAUGUGUAAAUGUGGUUUGGGGCAGGGAUGUCAUGUUCUUGUGUUAACUUGAGAAUUUACAUUUACAUUACUUUUUAUUCGUUCUGCUUUGUACAUAUAUAUGAUAUAUAUAUAUUCAUUUUCUGAUAUCUUUUUUAAUAUAUAUGUAUGAAUUAUAUUUAGUCUAUAUAUGAUUUAUAUAACAAUUUUCUCUGAUAUAUUCAUUAUAUUAAUACUCCAGAUAUGAUUUAUAUAUAUUAUGUUUUCAGAUAUAUUGAUUCUAUUGAUACUCCAUACAUGAUUUAUAUAUGUAGUAUGAUUUGUUAAAUAAAAAUGUUAAAUAUAAGCAUUCUUGUUUCAGGUUAUGUUUAAUUAGUUUUAUCAGUCGUCCUGACUUGGACCUUGACUAUCUAAACUUCAUGUGCACCCAUGAAUUGAUGAUUGAACUGAUGGAAUUACUUGCUCAUUUUCUAUGUUCUGUCUAACCAGACAGCACAGUUCUAUUAAGCCAUGUACUAUAUCCAAUGGCAACUCUAUCUGGUCUGCUAAUGCGUCAGCAAGUAUCAAUUCAUGGGUGCACAUGAAGUUUAGAUAGUCAAGGUCCAAGUAAGGAUGACUGAUGACAUACUGAAAGUUGGUUUGCAGUCUUUCAAAGAUAUGACGUCUGAGCAGGUUCUGUUGGAAAAGAAAGCAGUGCAUAUUGGCUCAUUGUCUUAUCUGAGUGUACUGACCUCAUUUGCACAUUAAACAUAACCUGAAACAAGAAUGCUUAUAUUUAACAUUUUCAGUACCACUUCCUGAUGAGGAUAGCAUCCGAUUAUUAAUGAUAUAAAUCGUUUUCAAAACAAAACAAAGAAAAUACAGGGAUGUAUAAAUACAUUUUGUAUGGUGUUCAUGUAUGUUAAAAACCAGGUAUAUGAUCAAAUAAAUAUUUUAUAGUUUUCAUUAAAAUGAAUUUAAAAAUAA